GAGGGUGGCUCUUUUUUUGUUGUUAUUUUUUCUUGUUUUGUCUCUUCCUUUUUACUGGUAGGUGCCUGCAUUCCUUGACAGGCUGAUAGGAUCAAUCCUUCCCUUUCUAGCUGUGACAUACAUUGAGCACAUGUGGAAUAACAGCAGGGAGUAAACAGGUGCUAGUUGGUAUACAAAGGCCUUUUCUAUCACAGGAAACAUCUUUUAGAUGAAAGUUAACUGAAUAUUCUGGAUUGUUUUUUUGAGUACCCAUAGUAUCUUGUAGCUCACAGGAACCUUACAUUUCUAGCACCCUUUCAGAAUGUCUGGGUUACACCUCACAGUUAGAAAAUUCGUGAAGUAAAUAUAAGAUUUUUUAAAAAAAGACCAAGUGGGUUGAGAGAUUUGCAGUUUGACUCCCUUCUGAUAAGUUGCUCCUCUGUUGGUGCUUCCAUGACUAGUUUGGAGAUAAGUCUAUGCAUAGUGGUCACAGAGGGAGACAGGAUUUGAAACAUCCUGUGCAUGUGUUUAUAUAUCUGGUAUUGAUGCUGAGUGAAAACCUUGCUUGAGGGUUCAUUUGUACAAAUGGGCACACUGGUCUCACGUAUUACUCCCUGCUUAACCCAUUGCUCCUGAAACAGUGAAAUGCAAACAAUGGCCUGGGGGUGCAAGGGGGGGUGUCUUGUUUUUACUCAAGGGGAAAAACACCAACAAAACUAGUCCAUGGUAACCAGGCAGUGUUUCCCAUUGAAGGUGAACUCCACAGAUAUCAGCUUUAUACACUUUAUUUUCUUCAAUUCCGUGUGCUGAAAAUCACAUGCUAAACUUCACACAGUUGCACUAACACUACCUCCAUAUGUGGGUUUGGAAGCAUGUGCUGAAAAAAUGGUCAACAUAGUGGUGGAUUACAGUGGUGCCAAUACGGCUGAUGGUGAUACAACUAUUUUUGUAUAUUUUAAUGUUUGAAAGAGCCAGUUAGAAGUUUGUUUGCAGGAAAAAGUUUCUUAAACUACAUCUGAUGAAAUUUUGUUCUCUGUAACACUGGAGAUUUUAUUCUGUUCAGCUUGCUGUGUUUGUAAUUGAUGUCUUGCUGUCAAUGUAUGGAUUGUAUCCUAAUCCUUGUAUUUAAUGCUUUAAUGUGUUUUAUAAAAUCUUUUCUUGUAAUGUUACAACACCUUAUCUGUAAAACAGUGUCAAUGCUUGAUGUUUACAUUGACUGUUACAUUUUUUGUUCUGAGCUGACGGUCAGUCUUGAAGCCUUUUCUCCCACUUCGUGAGCUAUCUUUGCUGUGAGAUAUUUACUCGGGAAAUAACCUCUGGAACAUCUGGGUAUGUCAGACACAAAGGAGAUACUUCUUCAGAUGUUAUACUGGACUACAAAAUCCAACAAAUGAAACCAGUGACGCUGGCUAAAUUCCCUCAUUGCAAAAAUCUGUCAGUUAAAUACAUAAGGGACCAUAAGGGCUUAGAGAGACUUUGAAAACAGAUUGUACAGUAUCUUUCUCAUGGCUCACUCUUUUUGAGAAGGUUUAUGGGCUUUAUGGCUGGUGUGAGACACACGACCCACUCCUGUUCUCUCUAUGGAAUAGUAGGUGCUCGGACAGGUAACUUCUGUUGCUACUGUCUUUUUUAAUUUUUAAUUUUUUCACUGUUUUAGGAAUUGUUUUAAACUGAACACUGCAGUAUUUAUAACCAGGUGUUUGCUGCCUUUUCCUUUGUUUUAUUUCUUUAAAUCUUUCUUAACCUUUGAGGGUGACUUUUGGAGCAUUCUGAUGGUGGAUCUGCUGUUGGAAGUCUCCAAGCCUCCCAUGUUUCUAAUUUGAGUUGGAAAGCUUUUGUUUUUUUUUAUUUGUUUAAAACAAUGACACAAAUUAACUGUGUGGAUUUCGGGUGGGAUUUGCUGUUGUGCUAUUUUGGGUGACUUAUUCUCCCUUUUUUUACAGAAAUGUGUUCUAACAGUUCACACUUUGUUACUGUUCUUUGCAAAACUUUUCAGGAGCCAAAAAAGUCAAACAAUCCAGAGAAAACCCCUUCUCCCCUUUCCGAUGGCAAGAGUGAGAACUUAUGAAAAAUCCUUGCGAAUGUUCCUUCCUAAACUUUUCCCCCCAGUAAUGCAAGCGGGUAAAAUGGUAAAUGCAGCAGUUUGGUGACAUCCAAAACCGACCUGUUGUCAGACAUACCCACUUCUUGCGUCUCAGCAUUGGGCAGGCCUAUUCCUUUAUUUGUGUAUAUUUUUGUGCAUCAGCUGCUAUAGGACACGGGUGUAACACUUUCAGGCAUGUGGUUGGGUGUCUUUUUGGGGUUUGUAAUAAUGUCAAAAAAUAAAAUUUUUUUUCCCCUCAGAUUUAUUCAUUAAUUCAUGUUGGAUCACAGUUCUGCAUCUCUAACCUGAUUUUAUAUACAUAUUAUGUGAAGAUUUUCUUGAAAGAAAUACAGUACUAGUUCUUUGCAGAGUCUGCAAUUCAUCUUUGGUGGGGAGAGUUUACCAAAUAUUACUGCAUUCUCUAAUAUUUCAAGUUUUAAUAUUUAAUGUUGCUUGAAAGGUGGUUUUACAGAUCAUGCUCCUUCCUCUUUAUGGAAUGGCUUUCAAAGCCUUGUGUUGAUCUUGGUUGUGCCCAGUGCUUUGCCUAGUGUAUGGGGAAAUGUAGAACUUGAAUAGGCCAUGACUUUUAGACAAGGGAUGAUGAUUAUCUGCAUGCUGAACCAGAACUUCUUCUAUAUGCCCUUCUGCUGCAACAGAAUAAUAAAACUGGUAGGUGGCAGCAGCAGCAGAAGACACUCAUGACUGUGACCUGAGAAACCUCCAGUACUGGGAGAAAUGGAUUGCAAAGUACUAACUGGAGUAAGGGGAAUGGAGAAGAGAGGCAGAGUCCCUGAACUGUCCCUUUGAAUGGAAUCUAAGGCGUGUGGAAGAUGCUGGAUCACCAGGUGCAGAGAUUGAACUCUACCCACUGGAAAGGUUUUUCUACAGCAGCAGCAGGUCUUCUCUUGCCUCUCAUGGGGACACUUAGCCUUUUGAUAAUGCCUCCUUCUCAGUGAAGGGAAGAAAGGAUGGAUCAGCAGGGAUGUGCAAUGGAGUGAUGUCCACAUGUGGUGUUAACAGUCAUGAUGAUCCCUGUCCCACUAACUUGGAGAAUUGAAUAAAAAAGUUGAAUUGUAAUUAA
Molecule: non-coding RNA, 3143 nt
Organism: Agelaius phoeniceus (red-winged blackbird)
Lineage: Eukaryota; Metazoa; Chordata; Aves; Passeriformes; Icteridae
Source: RefSeq, a predicted model, not a curated record